This 726-nucleotide ribosomal RNA is filed under the name uncultured archaeon. RNAcentral's name for it is "bacterial SSU rRNA". It matches the Rfam family "Archaeal small subunit ribosomal RNA", at positions 102 to 828 of the family's 1478-position model. The record is from RNAcentral.
GGAUAACCUACCCUUAGGACCGGGAUAACCCUGGGAAACUGGGGAUAAUACUGGAUAGGCAAUUUUUCCUGUAAUGGUUUUUUGUUUAAAUGUUUUUUCGCCUAAGGAUGGGUCUGCGGCCGAUUAGGUAGUUGGUUAGGUAAUGGCUUACCAAGCCGUUGAUCGGUACGGGUUGUGAGAGCAAGAGCCCGGAGAUGGAACCUGAGACAAGGUUCCAGGCCCUACGGGGUGCAGCAGGCGCGAAACCUCCGCAAUGUGAGAAAUCGCGACGGGGGGAUCCCAAGUGCCAUUCUUAACGGGAUGGCUUUUCAUUAGUGUAAAGAGCUUUUGGAAUAAGGGCUGGGCAAGACCGGUGCCAGCCGCCGCGGUAACACCGGCAGCUCUAGUGGUAGCAGUUUUUAUUGGGCCUAAAGCGUCCGUAGCCGGUUUAAUAAGUCUCUGGUGAAAUCCUGUAGCUUAACUGUGGGAAUUGCUGGAGAUACUAUUAGACUUGAGACCGGGAGAGGUUAGAGGUACUCCCAGGGUAGAGGUGAAAUUCUGUAAUCCUGGGAGGACCGCCUGUUGCGAAGGCGUCUAACUGGAACGGUUCUGACGGUGAGGGACGAAAGUUAGGGGCGCGAACCGGAUUAGAUACCCGGGUAGUCCUAACUGUAAACGAUGCGGACUUGGUGUUGGGGUGGCUUUGAGCUGCUCCAGUGCCGAAGGGAAGCUGUUAAGUCCGCCGCC